CAGAUGUAGGCGGGGCGCGGGUGUACCCCUGCAGCCCGGGUUGGGUGUAAUUUAUGUCUUUAAUUAAAAAGCAGAAAAUAAUUCUUUAAAAGCAUCUAUUUUAAUUGCUUUUGGAAAACAAUUAGUGAUGAGAGUUAAGCUUACACUUUGGAAUGACUCAGAGGCUCCAGGGCCAGGAGCCUGUGUAACAACCUCCAGGAAACACUGGACCCUCAGUGAUUAGUGAGCACCUAAUGAGGACUCAGAAUUUAUGCUGUGGAGAGUGGUCAGCAUUGCAGAAGCACUGAAGUACCUUCUUGCAUAGAACACCCAUUGUGCACAUCUGCAGUUACUUCCUCCACUGAAGUCUUGAACUCUUCAAAGUCAUCCAUGAGAGUUGGAAUCAACUUCUUUCAAACUCUUGUUAAUGUUGAUAUUUUAACACCCUGCUCUCAUAAAUCAUAAAUAGUCUUAAUGGAAUCUGGAAUGGAGAAUCCUUUCCUGAGGUUUUCAAUUUGUUUUGACCAGAUUCAUCAGAGAAAUCACUCUCUAGGGCAAAUUCAGCCAUUCUGAGUGAAUUUUAAAAAACAAACAAAAGAAGAGUCAAAAGUCAAAAUGAUUCCUUGUUCCCUAGACUGAAGAAUGGAUGUUGUGUUAGCAGGCAUGAAGACAUUAAUCUUAUUUUCAUCUUUAUCAGUACUCUUAGAGGAUCAGUUGUUUUGUCAAAGAGCAGUAAUAUUUUGAAAGGAAUCUUUUUUUCUGAGCAGUAAAUCUCAGUAGCAAACAAACCCUGUUGUUAGUAGAUAUUCUGUCAUCUGGACAUUUUUGUUCCAUUUAAAGAAAAGGUAGAAUAUUCAAACAAACCCUAGAAUAUUUGGAGGGACAAAUAUGCUUUCAGCUUCAACUUAAAGUCACUAGCUAUAUUAGUCCCUAACAAGAUAGUAAUUUGUUUUUAAAA
This is a long non-coding RNA of Sciurus carolinensis (gray squirrel), 937 nucleotides long. RefSeq lists it as uncharacterized. The transcript is spliced from 3 exons. The record is from RefSeq and is a predicted model, not a curated record. NCBI's taxonomy places the organism in Eukaryota, Metazoa, Chordata, Mammalia, Rodentia, Sciuridae.